This 465-nucleotide ribosomal RNA is filed under the name uncultured bacterium. RNAcentral's name for it is "partial 16S ribosomal RNA". It matches the Rfam family "Bacterial small subunit ribosomal RNA", at positions 339 to 795 of the family's 1533-position model. The record is from RNAcentral.
CUACGGGUUGCUGCAGUGGGGAAUAUUGCACAAUGGGCGCAAGCCUGAUGCAGCCAUGCCGCGUGUAUGAAGAAGGCCUUCGGGUUGUAAAGUACUUUCAGCGGGGAGGAAGGGAGUAAAGUUAAUACCUUUGCUCAUUGACGUUACCCGCAGAAGAAGCACCGGCUAAGUCCGUGGCCAGCAGCCGCGGUAAUACGGAGGGUGCAAGCGUUAAUCGGAAUUACUGGGCGUAAAGCGCACGCAGGCGGUUUGUUAAGUCAGAUGUGAAAUCCCCGGGCUCAACCUGGGAACUGCAUCUGAUACUGGCAAGCUUGAGUCUCGUAGAGGGGGGUAGAAUUCCAGGUGUAGCGGUGAAAUGCGUAGAGAUCUGGAGGAAUACCGGUGGCGAAGGCGGCCCCCUGGACGAAGACUGACGCUCAGGUGCGAAAGCGUGGGGAGCAAACAGGAUUAGAUACCCCUGUAGUC